RNAcentral lists this ribosomal RNA (254 nucleotides) under uncultured bacterium. RNAcentral's name for it is "partial 16S ribosomal RNA". It matches the Rfam family "Bacterial small subunit ribosomal RNA", at positions 524 to 776 of the family's 1533-position model. The record is from RNAcentral.
UACGUAGGGGGCAAGCGUUGUCCGGAUUUAUUGGGCGUAAAGAGCUCGUAGGUGGUUCGGUAAGUCGGAUGUGAAAUCUCCAGGCUCAACCUGGAGGGGUCAUUCGAUACUGCCGUGACUAGAGUUCGGUAGGGGAGUGUGGAAUUCCUGGUGGAGCGGUGAAAUGCGCAGAUAUCAGGAGGAACACCCGUAGCGAAGGCGGUUCUCUGGGCCUGUACUGACGCUGAGGAACGAAAGCGUGGGGAGCGAACAGG